RNAcentral lists this unclassified non-coding RNA (203 nucleotides) under Hevea brasiliensis (rubber tree). Lineage: Eukaryota; Viridiplantae; Streptophyta; Magnoliopsida; Malpighiales; Euphorbiaceae. The record is from RNAcentral.
UGAGAAUUUAGCUGAUUUAUGCUUGAAAAAUGCCCCUCCCUAUCACAAGUGGUAUUUUGAAACAUUGGGUAAAAAGAUUUUUGGGUUCUUGAUGAAAGAUGGGUAUAUUUAUUUUGCUAUUGCUGAUGAAGUUAUUGGCAAUCAAGCUCUUCUCCAGUUUCUAGAGCAGUUGAGAGAUGAAUUCAAAAGGGUAGCAAAGAAGG